This 28-nucleotide transfer RNA is filed under the name Gastrotheca excubitor (Abra Acanacu marsupial frog). RNAcentral's name for it is "partial tRNA-Phe". Lineage: Eukaryota; Metazoa; Chordata; Amphibia; Anura; Hemiphractidae. The record is from RNAcentral.
GAUGAACCCUAAAAAGUUCUGCAAACAC